GAUGAACGCUGGCGGCGUGCCUAAUACAUGCAAGUCGAGCGAACGGACGAGAAGCUUGCUUUUCUGAUGUUAACGGCGGACGGGUGAGUCACAUGUGGAUAACCUACCUAUAAGACUGGGAUAACUUCGGGAAACCGGAGCUAAUACCGGAUAAUAUUUUGAACCGCAUGGUUCAAGAGUGAAAGACGGUCUUGCUGUCUCUUAUAGAUGGAUCCGCGCUGCAUUAGCUAGUUGUUAAGGUAACGGCUUACCAAGGCAACGAUGCAUAGCCGCCCUGAGAGGGAGGUCGGCCACACUGGAACUGAGACACAGCCCACACUCCUACGGUAGGAAGCAGUAGGGAAUCUUCCGCAAUGGGCGAAUGCCUGACGGAGCAACGCCGCGUGAGUGAUGAAGGUCUCCGGAUCGUAAAACUCUGUUAUUAGGGAAGAACAUAUGUGUAAGUAACUGUGCACAUCUUGACGGUACCUAAUCAGAAAGCCACGGCUAACUACGUG
This 497-nucleotide ribosomal RNA is filed under the name uncultured bacterium. Its description in RNAcentral is "partial 16S ribosomal RNA". It matches the Rfam family "Bacterial small subunit ribosomal RNA", at positions 28 to 507 of the family's 1533-position model. The record is from RNAcentral.